Molecule: ribosomal RNA, 495 nt
Filed under: uncultured bacterium
Lineage: Bacteria
Description: partial 16S ribosomal RNA
Rfam family: Bacterial small subunit ribosomal RNA
Source: RNAcentral
GACGAACGCUGGCGGCGUGCCUAAUACAUGCAAGUAGAACGCUGAAGGAGGAGCUUGCUUCUCUGGAUGAGUUGCGAACGGGUGAGUAACGCGUAGGUAACCUGCCUGGUAGCGGGGGAUAACUAUUGGAAACGAUAGCUAAUACCGCAUAAUAGUAGAUGUUGCAUGACAUUUGCUUAAAAGGUGCAAUUGCAUCACUACCAGAUGGACCUGCGUUGUAUUAGCUAGUUGGUGGGGUAACGGCUCACCAAGGCGACAAUACAUAGCCGACCUGAGAGGGUGAUCGGCCACCCUGGGACUGAGACACGGCCCAGACUCCUACGGGAGGCAGCAGUAGGGGAUCUUCGGCAAUGGACGGAAGUCUGACCGAGCAACGCCGCGUGAGUGAAGAAGGUUUUCGGAUCGUAAAGCUCUGUUGUAAGAGAAGAACGAGUGUGAGAGUGGAAAGUUCACACUGUGACGGUAUCUUACCAGAAAGGGACGGCUAACUACGUG